GAUGAACGCUAGCGGCAGGCCUAAUACAUGCAAGCCGAACGGUAAUUCUGAUAGCAAUAUUGGAACUAGAGUGGCGUAAGGGUGCGUAACACGUAUGCAAUCUACCCGCAACAGGAGGAUAGCUCCCCGAAAGGGGAAUUAACCCUCCAUGAGAUCACACGAGGGCAUCCGAGAGUGAUUAAAUUUGAGGAGGUUGUGGAUGAGCAUGCGACUGAUAGCUAGUUGGCAGUGUAACGGACUACCAAGGCGAUGAUCAGUAGGGGAACUGAGAGGUUGAUCCCCCACACUGGCACU
Molecule: ribosomal RNA, 294 nt
Filed under: uncultured bacterium
Lineage: Bacteria
Description: partial 16S ribosomal RNA
Rfam family: Bacterial small subunit ribosomal RNA
Source: RNAcentral